This 450-nucleotide ribosomal RNA is filed under the name uncultured bacterium. RNAcentral's name for it is "partial 16S ribosomal RNA". It matches the Rfam family "Bacterial small subunit ribosomal RNA", at positions 354 to 796 of the family's 1533-position model. The record is from RNAcentral.
GUGGGGAGUAUUGGACAAUGGGCGAAAGCCUGAUCCAGCCAUGCCGCGUGUGUGAAGAAGGUCUUCGGAUUGUAAAGCACUUUAAGUUGGGAGGAAGGGCAGUAAGUUAAUACCUUGCUGUUUUGACGUUACCGACAGAAUAAGCACCGGCUAACUUCGUGCCAGCAGCCGCGGUAAUACGAAGGGUGCAAGCGUUAAUCGGAAUUACUGGGCGUAAAGCGCGCGUAGGUGGUUUUGUAAGUUGGAGGUGAAAUCCCCGGGCUCAACCUGGGAACUGCCUCCAAAACUGCAUGACUAGAGUACGGUAGAGGGUAGUGGAAUUUCCUGUGUAGCGGUGAAAUGCGUAGAUAUAGGAAGGAACACCAGUGGCGAAGGCGACUACCUGGACUGAUACUGACACUGAGGUGCGAAAGCGUGGGGAGCAAACAGGAUUAGAAACCCCUGUAGUCC